UACAGGGGGGGCAAGCGUUGUUCGGAAUUACUGGGCGUAAAGGGUUCGUAGGUGGCUUACUAAGUCAGAUGUGAAAUCCCUCAGCUUAACUGGGGAACUGCGUCUGAUACUGGAAAGCUUGAGUGCAGGAGAGGAACGCGGAAUUCCAGGUGUAGCGGUGAAAUGCGUAGAUAUCAGGAGGAACACCGGUGGCGAAGGCGGCUCGCUGGGACGGUACUGACGCUGAGGCGCGAAAGCGUGGGGAGCAAACAGG
RNAcentral lists this ribosomal RNA (253 nucleotides) under uncultured bacterium. RNAcentral's name for it is "partial 16S ribosomal RNA". It matches the Rfam family "Bacterial small subunit ribosomal RNA", at positions 524 to 776 of the family's 1533-position model. The record is from RNAcentral.